Molecule: long non-coding RNA, 2786 nt
Filed under: Paramuricea clavata
Lineage: Eukaryota; Metazoa; Cnidaria; Anthozoa; Malacalcyonacea; Plexauridae
Source: RNAcentral
CUUUUUUCAGAAGGCGGUAUCAAUUUCCCGUGUGUAAUACAAAAUGACUGAAAAACGGCAAACUUCGCAGGGCUAUAUUCCGCAUUUUACAACAUUUCGCAACGAAACUUCGGAAUAUUACUAAUUUCGUGAUGCUCUUUCACGCUGUGAUGAAAUUGUUGUCUAGAUCAAAAUUUUGUUCAUUAGGAAAUAGGUCCAUUAAUUAAAACAAAUUAUUCCUCUGCUACCGCCAACGAUGACAUAUACAAUAAUGUCUUUAUUAUGAUGAACAAAGACAUUUAUGUAACCGAGUCUGAAGCGCGGGUCUGAAGCUUUUAUUCAACAAAUAUUGCUACAAAGACAGUUGUUAGAACCUUUUCAUAGUUCUUCUACAAAUAGACAGAUUUUGCCGCGUUGUCUGUUCAGUUAUAGAUACACGGUAUGACGUCACACUGUGUAUUACCCAUUGGUAUUAGGGACGGACCAUUAGAUAUUUGAGGGGGGGGGGGAGUUGGACAAUUUUUCUGUGCACGAAUUUUUUUUCAUCCCCCAAUUGCUUGCAAGAAUUUUUUUCUGCAACAUUCCUUUGCACAAUAAAAAUUUUCCCGGAACGUUCGCCAAAAAGUUCGUCGACAGGGGGGGGGGAGGGGAAAGAGGAGGAAGGCAUAUUUUUUUCGAUUGUCAUAAAAACACCAUUUUAAUGUUUUAGAAUAAUUGCAUUACGAUUUUUAAAAUCAGCCCUAGUUCUUGCUCGAUUUUUUUUUUCAAGAUUUUUGUUGUACACGAUAUUUUUUUCUGGCUUCUUUCUGUGCGCGAUUUUUUUUUUGGUAUUUCCCCCUCCCCUCAAAUAUCUAAUGGUCCGUCCCUUAACACAUCUGUUACACAUUAUGACGUAAUACUGUGUAUCUAUCUUUAUACAGUUGUAGAAAUUAUGUUCAACAGCUCAACCUAAAGUGGCUUAAAAAUGUGUUUGUAGUAAAGUGCUUCAGACUUUGUUAGUACCCUGCAGCGAUCUACUUGUGUAUGCACCACGUCACUGACAUGUAUAUCACAUUUAUAUUGAAGCCUAAGCCUAAGGCCCCACUACUUUUUGCCAAAAAAAUCUACACACAUUAUUACAAGAAAAAUAUCGCAAACUUUUGCAAAACGAUACAGAUGAUCAGAUCUUGGGUAUAUUUUUAAACAAUUUUUUUAUAGAGUUGAAAAGAGUUUGGAAGUACUUAAAUAGGCUAUCUUCAAUAAAACAUGCCCCUCUUUAUCGAAACAUUGUUUGGAAAACGGGCGAUCAACUUUAAAUCCCCAAUCAGUUCUAAAAUCCCCCCCCCCCUAAUUAAAUUAAGACCAUACUGCACAAACGUUUGACUCGAAAACUUCAGUAAAAUAAUGCACUAACAGUAACUCAAAAUUUUUAGUAAAAUUGCCCGAGUUUAUUACCAACAAAUUUGCUCAUUUUUUGAGUAAAGAGAAUCUUUACUGAAUCUUGUUGGAAAUUUAGGAGGCUUUGCCCCUCCCCCCCCGGAAAAAGUGAAUUUCUGCCACUGCAUAGGGAAACGCUUGGUGAUCAACUUUACACAUAUUGCCGCUUUAUGCCUUGUGUAGUAAGCAAGUAAAUUUCGUUCAAUUGCAUAUAUUUGAUACCAAACACAAGAUCAAUACUUGUAUUGAAUAUUUAACUCGAUCCGAUAAAUAUGUUUCCAUUUGGAGUUGACCACCAAGCGCUAAACGUAUCACGUGACCCAAACCCAGCUGUACGUUCACAAUCGAGCAGAGGACUGGGUCUAGUUGAUGUUUGAAGGGACGCUUGGAGGGAUGGAUGAGAUGCCUUAUUAUAAGUGUUGCCGUUUCAGGCUGCACAAAUAACUUUAGGAAUGUAGGAAAACUUCGUAGAUGCCAUAUUCGGCAUAUUGUUUAUUUUUGUCCCUCCAAACAAGCGACUAGACCCAGUCCUCUGCUCGAUUGGGAAAUGACUAAUUGAGUAAGGGACUGGUCAUAAUUUAGCAGGAGGGGUGGGGACCUGGAACCAGUGGGGGGUCACAUAUUUUUUAGCCAGGAAAAAGGGGGGUUCAUAAACUGAAGGCGGGGGGGGGGUCUGCUGUUUUAGUUCAAUUAAUUGUUUUAUACAUGCCUUCUCACAUUCUGUUUGAGUUGCAUUGAAAAAAAUUGAUUCUUUAAACUUAGAAUGAAAAGUUUGAAAAAACUAAAGUUUUAUAUGUGACUAUGUACUGGUAUAAUAUAAAUUUUAGUAUUUGAUUUAAAGCGUAACUACAAAAUUAGAAAAUUUAAAGUGCAAUUAGAAAAUUCAUUGAAUGCAGGGUUUAGUAGUAGUAGGUACAUUUUUACUGGCACGAGCAAGAGAGAGAGAGGGGUAUAUACUGACACGAGCAAGAGAGAGGGGGGGGCAUUAGCAGGGUUAUGGCAAAGCAGGGUCACAAAAUAUCAUUCCUUAAAAUUUUGAAUUACACCUCCCCACCCCCCUGAUAAAUUAUGACCAGUCCCUAAACUUGGAACUUUACUCAGUAACUUUACCGAAACAUUUUGAGUCACUGUGUAGGUGCAUUAUUUUACCCAGGUUUAAAGUCAAAAUACUCAGGGAAUUUUUGCAGUGCAUUUCUAAUUCACACUAUAUACAUAUCUUGUCGGUUCAUCAAUUAUUGAUUGAAACACUCAGGGUUGUUGCCCGUCAGGAAUCUAGAACACAAAGAACAGAAAUAAUUUACAAACACAAACUAUUAAAAAUGCUUAAAAUACUCAUUAAUAAUUCAUAAACCUUGUGGCAAAUCAUGCCAGUCAUAAUAUGUCACGUGGAG